This 327-nucleotide ribosomal RNA is filed under the name Triticum aestivum (bread wheat). RNAcentral's name for it is "partial small subunit ribosomal RNA". The record is from RNAcentral. Lineage: Eukaryota; Viridiplantae; Streptophyta; Magnoliopsida; Poales; Poaceae.
AUGACAUUAAACCAAAGCUUAUAUGUAGUCUUGGCCAAUUGUCAUGCGCCACGAAUAAAAGGGGGAAAAGAGAGAGAUGUGCUUGCAAGGGCCAUUACAUUGGCAAUUGGACCAUGGGACCAUGGCUUGUUUUGGUUUUUGUCUAACGAGCUUGCGUCAAAUCACAUCGUUGUGGCUCAUUGCGCAAGUGACAACUUUUCCUCUAAUUUUUGGGCCAUUGUGGAAGGGAUAGCUUUCUUAUCCCUGUAUGUACCUUCCACUAAAAAUAUAUCUGCCUUCCAUUUUGUGAAAUCACAUUUGCAUGAACUAAAAGGUGUCCCUGUAUGA